ACCUGGCUGGCUCGAUUGGUGGAGUGUGGGACUCUUGAUCUCAGGGUUAUGAGUUCAAACCCUAUGUUGAGUG
Molecule: transfer RNA, 73 nt
Filed under: Canis lupus familiaris (dog)
Lineage: Eukaryota; Metazoa; Chordata; Mammalia; Carnivora; Canidae
Also listed under: 1 other name
Rfam family: tRNA
About the family: Transfer RNA (tRNA) molecules are approximately 80 nucleotides in length. Their secondary structure includes four short double-helical elements and three loops (D, anti-codon, and T loops). Further hydrogen bonds mediate the characteristic L-shaped molecular structure. tRNAs have two regions of fundamental functional importance: the anti-codon, which is responsible for specific mRNA codon recognition, and the 3' end, to which the tRNAs corresponding amino acid is attached (by aminoacyl-tRNA synthetases). tRNAs cope with the degeneracy of the genetic code in two manners: having more than one tRNA (with a specific anti-codon) for a particular amino acid; and 'wobble' base-pairing, i.e. permitting non-standard base-pairing at the 3rd anti-codon position.
Source: Rfam by way of RNAcentral